Molecule: long non-coding RNA, 862 nt
Filed under: Homo sapiens (human)
Lineage: Eukaryota; Metazoa; Chordata; Mammalia; Primates; Hominidae
Description: HSALNT0316780
Source: RNAcentral
GACGGAGCCACUAUCUCUGAAAGGAGAGAUCUCAUCCGCUGUCCACUGGGGAAUGGCCUUGCCCUAUGGCCCCUACCAAACAAAAACGUAGCAGAACACAGCAAAACAGCAGAGUCGGAAUGUGAAGUGCUGAUAGAGUUCCCUAACGCUGACUGUCUGCUCUGCAUUUCUGGAGAUUGUAUGCCUGUCAUCCUGCAUUCCUUGAUGGUGAAGCCAAGGCCUGAAGACCUUUCCUGCAAGGUCGCAGAGGAAGAGGCAGAAGAAGGACCAGAACCCAGCUCCCCUGACUCCCUAUCCAGUGCUCUUCUCAUAGAUUACAUUGCUUCAGCAUCCACCUGGCUAUUGCUCCAUCCAGGGGUUACAGGAGUCACUGACUGUUUUGGUUGCUUCUUGGUUGGAGGAUGUUGUGCCUCACCGAUGAGAGCCGGAAGCAAAGGUACCAGUUCUUAGAGGAAGCAUAGGAAUGUGUCCCUUCCUGCUCGGGUCUCUCAACUGAACUCAACCCUUCCUUGAUUGAUUGACAAGCAUGUUAUCUCUCAUAAUCCCUGCCCGGUAAGGGCUGAUGUCCCCAUUUUACAGAUGAGGAUAUUGGAGCUCAGAGAAGUGAAAUGAUUGCUGAAGGUCACACAGCCUGGCUUCAAGCCUCUCGGGCUCCAAAAGGCAUCUUCUGUUCUCUCCGUCAGGAAGCCUCUUUUGGAUGAUUAACUGAGAUUAAAAAUGAAAAGACACAUGAAAGAAAGGUCCUUUUUUUCAACCUGACAAGAACUAAGAAUGCCUCUGUAUUCCAGGCACCCAGACCAGGGUGGGCUGGAAAGCCAGCCAGAGAGAAAGCAGGAGAAAGAAAGCAUGUUCUAACAGGAAG